ACGAAGGGGGCUAGCGUUGCUCGGAAUUACUGGGCGUAAAGCGCACGUAGGCGGGUCGUUAAGUCGGGGGUGAAAUCCUGGAGCUCAACUCCAGAACUGCCUUCGAUACUGGCGAUCUCGAGUCCGGGAGAGGUGAGUGGAACUCCGAGUGUAGAGGUGAAAUGCGUAGAUAUUCGGAAGAACACCAGUGGCGAAGGCGGCUCACUGGCCCGGUACUGACGCUGAGGUGCGAAAGCGUGGGGAGCAAACAG
Molecule: ribosomal RNA, 251 nt
Filed under: uncultured prokaryote
Description: partial 16S rRNA
Rfam family: Bacterial small subunit ribosomal RNA
Source: RNAcentral